RNAcentral lists this signal recognition particle RNA (89 nucleotides) under Saprospiraceae bacterium. RNAcentral describes it as "signal recognition particle sRNA small type". It matches the Rfam family "Bacterial small signal recognition particle RNA". Rfam says of the family: The signal recognition particle (SRP) is a universally conserved ribonucleoprotein involved in the co-translational targeting of proteins to membranes. Archaeal SRP consists of a 7S RNA and homologues of the eukaryotic SRP19 and SRP54 proteins. The record is from RNAcentral. Lineage: Bacteria; Pseudomonadati; Bacteroidota; Saprospiria; Saprospirales; Saprospiraceae.
UGUGGGCAACAACCAGCUCCCUUUGAACCCCCCCAGGUCAGAAAUGAAGCAAGGGUAGGAGGUCGUAGUCGGUGUGUUUGCCCCUCUUU